GACGAACGCUGGCGGCGUGCCUAACACAUGCAAGUCGAACGAUGAAAUUAUGACGGAGGCUUCGGCCAACUGAAUGAUGGAUUAGUGGCGGACGGGUGAGUAACGCGUGAGUAACCUGCCUUUCAGAGGGGAAUAACAUUUGGAAACGAAUGGUAAUACCGCAUAACGUCACGGGAUCGCAUGGUCCUGUGACCAAAGGAGCAAUCCGCUGAAAGAUGGACUCGCGUCCGAUUAGCUAGUUGGAGAGGUAACGGCUCCCCAAGGCGACGAUCGGUAGCCGGACUGAGAGGUUGAACGGCCACAUUGGGACUGAGACACGGCCCAGACUCCUACGGGAGGCAGCAGUGGGGAAUAUUGCACAAUGGGGGAAACCCUGAUGCAGCAACGCCGCGUGAAGGAAGACGGUCUUCGGAUUGUAAACUUUUGUUCUUAGUGAAGAAAAAUGACGGUAGCUAAGGAGAAAGCCACGGCUAACUACGUG
This 481-nucleotide ribosomal RNA is filed under the name uncultured bacterium. Its description in RNAcentral is "bacterial SSU rRNA". It matches the Rfam family "Bacterial small subunit ribosomal RNA", at positions 28 to 507 of the family's 1533-position model. The record is from RNAcentral.